Molecule: long non-coding RNA, 1882 nt
Organism: Lutra lutra (Eurasian river otter)
Lineage: Eukaryota; Metazoa; Chordata; Mammalia; Carnivora; Mustelidae
Exons: 4
Source: RefSeq, a predicted model, not a curated record
CUGGGGGACUGGCAGGUGUUUCUGCACAAAGAGAAAACAGGGGACAUGGGAGAAGCAUGUAAGCUCCUCCUACCUGGGUCACAAGUGUGGCCUGGGCUGGUAGGCAAAUGGUGGAAGUUCAUGAGGUCUUCUCAUCAUCUUCUUCUCUUUAGCCUUUUCUCUGUUCCAUUUAAUUUACUUCAAGAGAGCUGUUAAAAAAUUGUCUUCUUUUUAACAUUAGUUGACACCCAGAAACAUGCAGUUAGGUUAUAUACCUGGAAAGAGAAAGACAUGGGGAAAGAGAAGAGGCCAAGAGAAGCACAGGGAGAGAAAGAUCUUACAAAAAGAAUAUUUUGUGGGACUAACACUUCAUCUGUUAUUUUGGGGAAACUCUGCUGUAGGUAAAUAGAAUAAAUGUAGAAGAAAAAAAACUUGAAGAUUCUACAGAUGGGGUAUAGAAUGCAAGCAUCAUAUGCAUAAAUAAACCAGAAAUUAGAAAAUGAAUUAGGUAAGUAUUUUUUAGAUAAGUAUUCCAAAACCUGAAAUUUGAUUAGAACUCUAAGAACCUACAAGCAAAUAGAAAGUAAAAUAGAUAAAAUUUCAUGCUGUUUCUGAAUCCAUCAGCCAUAUACACUUUGUCUUGAGGAAGAAUCUUUUUUUUUUUUUCCCUUUUCUUUAAAUCAGUGACCUACGAGCUGUAGGCCACAUGCCACUCACCUAGAUCUAAUUUUAGGAUGAGAGUUUAAAAACCUGUUUUGGUAUUUUUACUUCUCAAAUAUGCUCAGACAGUUAACAUUUUAGUAGUUGAAAAGCAAUGCGGGUUAUUCUCAUUGGUGGUUUUAUAAUCAAUCCAGUAUAUAAUUUGUGUUUUCAGAGUACGUAUUUUUUCCUCAUGGUAUUCAAUAAAUGAGUUAAUUACUUUGAGUGAAAAAUAAAUACAGCCUGCAUAGAUUUCUGAUUUUCCUGAACAGAUCUUCACACCAAAAAGGUUAUAACAAACGUAGACUGAAGUGGUUUGUCUUUUCUCACCAGAAGUUCAUAUAUUUUUUUAAAGAUUUUAUUUAUUUAUUUGACAGAGAGAGAGACACAGCAAGAGAGGGAACACAAGCAGGGAGAGUGGGAGAGGGAGAAGUGGGCUUCUCACCAAGCAGGGAGCCCGAUGCAGGGCUCAAUCUCAGGACCCCGGGAUCAUGACCUGAGCCAAAGGCAGAAGCUUAACGACUGAGCCACCCAGGCACCCCAGAAGCCCAUAUUUGUAAAGCAAAAUACUUGAGAAGUUUUGGGGAGUGACUGGGAGUGGCCACUCUUCCAGCCUGUGAAGGCCUGUUUUAGAGAGAAGGCUGCAUUUUGGCUGCGCUAUUGGUGUGGUUUCUCUGGCUUAGUGGGACCCUGUUGCUUCCCACUAUGUGACCUGACAAGUGCCCAUCCAUACUUCUCAGUAAUGUGGGAGAAUCCCCCAUGUACAUCUUACCAGGAGAGAUGUCAGACAUUUAUCCAGCUGAGUUGCCCAAGACCAUUAAAGAGGUUCAUCAUUCUCCCAUACUGUUGUUUCUGUGAUGUCAAAUAAAAGAUUGUUUAUUAGCCAACUGGAAAAAAAAACUUAUUUCAUUAAAACGACUUUCAUUGUGAUGUUGAUCUGCAAAAGGAAAAUUUUGUCUUCAAAAGUGGCAGGGGAAUUCAACGUGCAUGUCCCAGUAGGUGUGGGUUGAUCGUUACCAUUUGACAUUAGGUCCUGGGAACCUGGGUAGAGGAGGCUACCAGAGGCUACCACAGUAGAACACUUCUGUCAGUGAGCAGUGAUACCAUCAUCCAUCCAGGUUUGCAACCAGAAAACUAGGUGUUACCCUUGAUGCCUCUUUUUCUCACACCACUUUAUGCAAUCCAUCAACAAGGAAGGUCUGCU